GAUGAACGCUGGCGGCGUGCCUAAUACAUGCAAGUCGAGCGAAUGGAUUAAGAGCUUGCUCUUAUGAAGUUAGCGGCGGACGGGUGAGUAACACGUGGGUAACCUGCCCAUAAGACUGGGGUAACUCCGGGAAACCGGGGCUAAUACCGGAUAACAUUUUGAACCGCAUGGUUCGAAAUUGAAAGGCGGCUUCGGCUGUCACUUAUGGAUGGACCCGCGUCGCAUUAGCUAGUCGGUGAGGUAACGGCUCACCAAGGCAACGAUGCGUAGCCGACCUGAGAGGGUGAUCGGCCACACUGGGACUGAGACACGGCCCAGACUCCUACGGGAGGCAGCAGUAGGGAAUCUUCCGCAAUGGACGAAAGUCUGACGGAGCAACGCCGCGUGAGUGAUGAAGGCUUUCGGGCCGUAAAACUCUGUUGUUAGGGAAGAACAAGUGCUAGUUGAAUAAGCUGGCACCUUGACGGUACCUAACCAGAAAGCCACGGCUAACUACGUGCCAGCCGCCGCGGUAA
RNAcentral lists this ribosomal RNA (515 nucleotides) under uncultured bacterium. RNAcentral's name for it is "partial 16S ribosomal RNA". It matches the Rfam family "Bacterial small subunit ribosomal RNA", at positions 28 to 523 of the family's 1533-position model. The record is from RNAcentral.